Molecule: long non-coding RNA, 1599 nt
Organism: Canis lupus familiaris (dog)
Lineage: Eukaryota; Metazoa; Chordata; Mammalia; Carnivora; Canidae
Exons: 4
Source: RefSeq, a predicted model, not a curated record
UCUUCCUCUUUCUGGUACAGAGCGGGAGACACGCCUCUUCCAAAACGGUAACUUCUCAGCUUUCGGUGAUUUCCCCAUGUCGGUGCUGUUCCUUAAAACAUAUUUUGGGGUGGCAAAUUCUGCUUCGCUGCACCCUCUUAGGGUCCUUUUUGGAGGGUGCUGAGAAUUAAGGUGAUGGACGUCAGAGCAACAGGAUAAAAAAGCAGACAGAUCAUCGAAGACUCAGGUUCUCCGUGACGCGGGGGCCUUCCUAAGGAAGGAGGGACCUGGAGAAGCGGUGGGAGAUACUUGCUUCGAUGUUAGGUUGAAGGAGAAAAGGCACUCAGCCGUGUGUGGAGACCAAGGAAGACAAGACCAUUUUAACAAACAACAUCUGGGUAGAGACCUGCUGCGUCUCCACUGCUCAUCCCUGACGUUCCCUGUUUGACACCUUCCAAGGGAAUAAGAGGAAUGGGGACUCAAGAAAACACCAGCAGUGCUUCUCAGAUGCUCCUAGUAAUGUUGGCAUGCUCGUUGCUGAGUAUUAAGAAGGGACACGGCGCAGAGUCUCCUGCCCACCGGUUCUGUGAGAUGUCCAGGCAGAAAUGAGAGAAACACAGGAAAAGAACUACAAGAACAGCUGCUCCGAAAGCUGAGAAGUUACCGUUUUGGAAGAGGCACACGGGGAGAUCCUCACGUGUUGGGGUGUCUCCCGCUCUGUACCAGAAAGAGGAAGAGGACUCUAGAAAAGCUCAUCAACUCUUAUCUCAUUAAGAUGAUGACAGCUGGGGAAGUGACUUCUUUAUUCCUCUUAUAUUUGGAAAGGAGUCCUCACCACCGGAACUAGAAGCAACGGAACACUGCCCGCUUUUGACACCGUGAGCGGCAGCGCUUUCAGCGCAAGUUACAGUGUGAAGCAGGAAACAAAUGCUUACAGGGUCUUAAGAUGCUAAGCCAGCUCGCGGUUUCCCUGACCGUGCAGGCUCCCACUGAACAAAGCUGAAGGUCUGAGAGUCUGGCUACAGAAACGCUCCCCGGGCGCCAGGGCCCCAGGCGGGGCGGCGGCAUUAAUUCAUCACCAGGCACUGACUCUCCGUCCCACGUCUUCCUCGGGGGCUGGGCGCCCGGAGCCGCCCGGAGCCGGCCGCGGCAGCAGCAGCAGCAGCAGCAGCAGCAGCAGCAGCAGCAGCACCGCCCCCCUCCCCACCCUGCGGGGACCUGGCUGGCGGUCCGGCGGCAAAGCAUUGUGGGUGGUGAGUGGUCAGGACGUGUGCCCUCUGGGCAGCGAGGCUCCCCCGGUCUGGCCGGGGCUCCAGGGUGCAGCGCGGACGUCCAAAGAGCUGGCUGGCCUCCAGGCUUCACAGGAGCCGGGGGACCGGCUCGGGCGCCCCCGCCCCCCCUCCGCCCGGGAGCCCCCGAGUCCAAGGGCCCGAAGCAUGCAUUCUCCUCGUCCUCGGCGGGUGCAGACACGGAUCUGCGAUCGAUAGGCGCGCGGCCCGAGCAGAUGCACACGCAAAUGGGUCAGACCUGUCGGGCGAUCGCCGAGGACACGUGACGAGGCCGCCCGCCAGGCUUCCCGGCGCGGGGCGGGGAGGCCGGACCCGGGCGCGCUGCGGCAGG